AAUAGAUACCCUGGUAGUCCACGCCGUAAACGAUGAGUGCUAAGUGUUAGGGGGUUUCCGCCCCUUAGUGCUGCAGCUAACGCAUUAAGCACUCCGCCUGGGGAGUACGGCCGCAAGGCUGAAACUCAAAGGAAUUGACGGGGGCCCGCACAAGCGGUGGAGCAUGUGGUUUAAUUCGAAGCAACGCGAAGAACCUUACCAGGUCUUGACAUCUCCUGACCGCCCUGGAGACAGGGUCUUCCCUUCGGGGACAGGAUGGACAGGUGGUGCAUGGUUGUCGUCAGCUCGUGUCGUGAGAUGUUGGGUUAAGUCCCGCAACGAGCGCAACCCUUGUCCUUAGUUGCCAGCAUUCAGUUGGGCACUCUAAGGAGACUGCCGGCUAAAAGUCGGAGGAAGGUGGGGAUGACGUCAAAUCAUCAUGCCCCUUAUGACCUGGGCUACACACGUGCUACAAUGGGCGGUACAGAGGGUCGCGAACCCGCGAGGGGAGCCAAUCCCAAAAAGCCGCUCUCAGUUCGGAUUGGAGG
This 527-nucleotide ribosomal RNA is filed under the name uncultured bacterium. RNAcentral describes it as "bacterial SSU rRNA". It matches the Rfam family "Bacterial small subunit ribosomal RNA", at positions 777 to 1304 of the family's 1533-position model. The record is from RNAcentral.